UGGGGAAUAUUGCACAAUGGGGGAAACCCUGAUGCAGCGACGCCGCGUGAGUGAAGAAGUAUUUCGGUAUGUAAAGCUCUAUCAGCAGGAAAGAAAAUGACGGUACCUGACUAAGAAGCCCCGGCUAACUACGUGCCAGCAGCCGCGGUAAUACGUAGGGGGCAAGCGUUAUCCGGAUUUACUGGGUGUAAAGGGAGCGUAGACGGUUGUGCAAGUCUGAAGUGAAAUCCCGGGGCUCAACUCCGGAACUGCUUUGGAAACUGUAUAACUAGAGUGCAGGAGAGGUAAGUGGAAUUCCUAGUGUAGCGGUGAAAUGCGUAGAUAUUAGGAGGAACACCAGUGGCGAAGGCGGCUUACUGGACUGUAACUGACGUUGAGGCUCGAAAGCGUGGGGAGCAAACAGGAUUAGAUACCCUGGUAGU
Molecule: ribosomal RNA, 422 nt
Filed under: uncultured Clostridium sp.
Lineage: Bacteria; Bacillati; Bacillota; Clostridia; Eubacteriales; Clostridiaceae
Description: bacterial SSU rRNA
Rfam family: Bacterial small subunit ribosomal RNA
Source: RNAcentral